RNAcentral lists this ribosomal RNA (450 nucleotides) under uncultured bacterium. RNAcentral describes it as "partial 16S ribosomal RNA". It matches the Rfam family "Bacterial small subunit ribosomal RNA", at positions 354 to 796 of the family's 1533-position model. The record is from RNAcentral.
GUGGGGAAUAUUGGACAAUGGGCGCAAGCCUGAUCCAGCCAUACCGCGUGGGUGAAGAAGGCCUUCGGGUUGUAAAGCCCUUUUGUUGGGAAAGAAAUCCUGUCGGUUAAUACCUGGCGGGGAUGACGGUACCCAAAGAAUAAGCACCGGCUAACUUCGUGCCAGCAGCCGCGGUAAUACGAAGGGUGCAAGCGUUACUCGGAAUUACUGGGCGUAAAGCGUGCGUAGGUGGUGGUUUAAGUCCGUUGUGAAAGCCCUGGGCUCAACCUGGGAAGUGCAGUGGAUACUGGAUCACUAGAGUGUGGUAGAGGGAUGCGGAAUUUCUGGUGUAGCAGUGAAAUGCGUAGAGAUCAGAAGGAACAUCCGUGGCGAAGGCGGCAUCCUGGGCCAACACUGACACUGAGGCACGAAAGCGUGGGGAGCAAACAGGAUUAGAAACCCUGGUAGUCC